CUACGGGUUGCUCCAGUGGGGAAUAUUGGACAAUGGGGGAAACCCUGAUCCAGCAAUGCCGCGUGUGUGAAGAAGGCCUGCGGGUUGUAAAGCACUUUCGGUUGGGAGGACUGCUUCUAGCACUAAUAUUGUUGGAAGUUGACGUUACCUUCAGAAGAAGCACCGGCUAACUCCGUGCCAGCAGCCGCGGUAAUACGGAGGGUGCAGGCGUUAAUCGGAAUUACUGGGCGUAAAGCGCGCGUAGGCGGCUAGAUCGGUCGGUGUGAAAGCCCCGGGCUUAACCUGGGAACUGCAUCCGAUACUGUCGAGCUUGAGUACAGGAGAGGAGAGUGGAAUUCCACAUGUAGUGGUGAAAUGCGUAGAUAUGUGGAGGAACACCAAUGGCGAAGGCAGCUCUCUGGCCUGAUACUGACGCUGAGGUGCGAAAGCGUGGGGAGCAAGCAGGAUUAGAUACCCUCGUAGUC
RNAcentral lists this ribosomal RNA (464 nucleotides) under uncultured bacterium. RNAcentral's name for it is "partial 16S ribosomal RNA". It matches the Rfam family "Bacterial small subunit ribosomal RNA", at positions 339 to 795 of the family's 1533-position model. The record is from RNAcentral.